Molecule: long non-coding RNA, 483 nt
Organism: Carya illinoinensis
Lineage: Eukaryota; Viridiplantae; Streptophyta; Magnoliopsida; Fagales; Juglandaceae
Exons: 2
Source: RefSeq, a predicted model, not a curated record
UGAUAUCCCGCUCGACGUGGCCUUCCACGUUUGACAAUUUUAUUCAAUUUAAAAUACAAAGCAACAGUAUUUUAUUUUAUUCAUUUUCCUUCUUCUCCCGUGCAUCGCCACAGCGUUUACAAUUUUUUUUUUCUCUCCAGCCCCCAUCGACUUCGCCCUCUCCAGACCCACCAUUUCGUCGUCCCCAACCCCACGAGUUCGAGCCCCACCAGUUCAAGGUCCCCUCUCAGCCAUCUCUGAUGGAAUCUCCAAGGACAACACUGUGGAGGCUUUCCAUCGGGACUUCAGUGUUUUUUGAUUGGUAGACGCCAUAAGACAAACUUGUAAUCUUGGGAUUUUAUAUUGUAAUCUUGGGAUUUUGUUGAACCUGUUUUUGUAUUGACGUGUUUAGAUCAUUAAUUGUAAUCUUGGGAUUGUAUUGAACCUGUUUUUGUAAUCGUCAUUUUUGUAUAUCAACGUUUGUGGGCAGUGACCAUUGCAAUC